GGCCAGAUGGUCUAGUGGUAUGAUUCUCGCUUAGGGUGCGAGAGGUCCCGGGAUCGAUCCCCGGUCUGGCCC
RNAcentral lists this transfer RNA (72 nucleotides) under Caenorhabditis briggsae. Its description in RNAcentral is "tRNA-Pro (AGG) (tRNA-Pro-AGG-3-1)". It matches the Rfam family "tRNA". From Rfam's summary of the family: Transfer RNA (tRNA) molecules are approximately 80 nucleotides in length. Their secondary structure includes four short double-helical elements and three loops (D, anti-codon, and T loops). Further hydrogen bonds mediate the characteristic L-shaped molecular structure. tRNAs have two regions of fundamental functional importance: the anti-codon, which is responsible for specific mRNA codon recognition, and the 3' end, to which the tRNAs corresponding amino acid is attached (by aminoacyl-tRNA synthetases). tRNAs cope with the degeneracy of the genetic code in two manners: having more than one tRNA (with a specific anti-codon) for a particular amino acid; and 'wobble' base-pairing, i.e. permitting non-standard base-pairing at the 3rd anti-codon position. The record is from Rfam by way of RNAcentral. Lineage: Eukaryota; Metazoa; Nematoda; Chromadorea; Rhabditida; Rhabditidae. RNAcentral also lists the same sequence under 1 other name.